GCGGAAGUAGCUCAGUUGGUAGAGCGCGAGCUUCCCAAGCUUGAGGUCGCGGGUUCGAACCCCGUCUUCCGCU
This 73-nucleotide transfer RNA is filed under the name Bacteroidota bacterium. RNAcentral's name for it is "Bacteroidetes bacterium tRNA-Gly". It matches the Rfam family "tRNA". Rfam says of the family: Transfer RNA (tRNA) molecules are approximately 80 nucleotides in length. Their secondary structure includes four short double-helical elements and three loops (D, anti-codon, and T loops). Lineage: Bacteria; Pseudomonadati; Bacteroidota. The record is from RNAcentral.